Molecule: ribosomal RNA, 238 nt
Filed under: uncultured bacterium
Lineage: Bacteria
Description: partial 16S ribosomal RNA
Rfam family: Bacterial small subunit ribosomal RNA
Source: RNAcentral
CGGCGGACGGGUGAGUAACGCGUGGGUAACCUACCCUGUACACACGGAUAACAUACCGAAAGGUAUGCUAAUACGGGAUAAUAUAUUUGAGAGGCAUCUCUUGAAUAUCAAAGGUGAGCCAGUACAGGAUGGACCCGCGUCUGAUUAGCUAGUUGGUAAGGUAACGGCUUACCAAGGCGACGAUCAGUAGCCGACCUGAGAGGGCGAUCGGCCACAUUGGAACUGAGACACGGUCCGA